CUCGUGACCCCCCAAACCCUGAAUGGGAGUCCGGGUGCUGGAGAGGGCCGCAGACUCGGAACCCGGGGGAAUGCGCUGGCACGCUGUCCUGCGGUCCCGGGACAAGGGAGGGGAGGGAUGGGGAUGUAAGACCCCGAGGGUCACUUUGAGGCGCCGACGCUCAAUUAUCAGCCCCCACUGAAGCCGAGGGGGUGUCAGAGAAAGUGUGUGUAUGGUGCCUGUGCUUGGGGGGCUGGGGGGUUAGAUGCCCUGGGGCGCCGGCAGCCCGGAUGGGCAGGCCCGUCGUCCCCAGCUCCGUGUCCGUCUCCCCUGCUUACCUGGCUCUCGCAGAAGCCGCACCAGCGAGGCCUGGGUGGAAGGCGGCGGCGACCCCAGACAGGACGCGGCCGGAGUGCAACAGGGCCAUGCUGGGCGGCGAGAAGGCAGUGGGCAGCGGCACGACGGAGCGCAGGCCGGCGGGCGCAGACACGCAGGCGCGGGCUCCCGCGGGAGUUCGGGAGGCUAGAAGCCCAAAAUCCAGAUGUCAGCAGGGUUCGUUCCUUCUGGAGUCUCUGGGAUAGGAAUCUGCUCCCUGCCUUCUUCCAGCUUCUCGCAGUUGCUGGCAAUCCUUGCCAGCAAGCAGGUCCUUGGCUUAUAGACACAUCACUCAAUCUCUGCCUCUGUUUUCACAUUGUAUUUUGUUUUGUUUUGUUUUUGUUUUCACAUUGUAUUAUCUCCCUGUGUGUAUCUCUGAGUUUGUUCUCCUCCUCAAGGACAUGAAUCGUAUUGGAUCAGAGCCUACAGUGACGGUUUCAUCUUAUACAUCUGCAGAGACCCAGCUUGCAAAUCACAGGGAUCCCUGGGUGGUGCAGCGGUUUGGCGCCUGCCUUUGGCCCAGGGCACGAUCCUGGAGACCCGGA
Molecule: long non-coding RNA, 899 nt
Organism: Canis lupus familiaris (dog)
Lineage: Eukaryota; Metazoa; Chordata; Mammalia; Carnivora; Canidae
Exons: 3
Source: RefSeq, a predicted model, not a curated record